This is a non-coding RNA of Caenorhabditis elegans, 21 nucleotides long. NCBI's taxonomy places the organism in Eukaryota, Metazoa, Nematoda, Chromadorea, Rhabditida, Rhabditidae. The record is from Ensembl.
UGACACCGGCAAAAAUCAGAA